Molecule: ribosomal RNA, 253 nt
Filed under: uncultured bacterium
Lineage: Bacteria
Description: partial 16S ribosomal RNA
Rfam family: Bacterial small subunit ribosomal RNA
Source: RNAcentral
UACGAAGGGGGCUAGCGUUGCUCGGAAUUACUGGGCGUAAAGAGCUCGUAGGCGGCUUGUCGCGUCGGCUGUGAAAUCCCGUGGCUUAACUGCGGGUCUGCAGCCGAUACGGGCAGGCUAGAGUUCGGUAGGGGAGACUGGAAUUCCUGGUGUAGCGGUGAAAUGCGCAGAUAUCAGGAGGAACACCGGUGGCGAAGGCGGGUCUCUGGGCCGAUACUGACGCUGAGGAGCGAAAGCGUGGGGAGCGAACAGG